Molecule: ribosomal RNA, 253 nt
Filed under: uncultured bacterium
Lineage: Bacteria
Description: partial 16S ribosomal RNA
Rfam family: Bacterial small subunit ribosomal RNA
Source: RNAcentral
UACAGAGACUGCAAGCGUUAUUCGGAUUCACUGGGCGUAAAGGGUGCGCAGGCGGCCAAGUGUGUUAGGCGUGAAAGCCCGGGGCUUAACCCCGGAAUUGCACCUAAAACUACAUAGCUAGAGCAUUGGAGAGGGUAGCGGAAUUCACGGUGUAGCAGUGAAAUGCGUAGAUAUCGUGAGGAACACCAGAGGCGAAGGCGGCUACCUGGACAAUUGCUGACGCUCAGGCACGAAAGCGUGGGGAGCAAAAGGG